RNAcentral lists this ribosomal RNA (490 nucleotides) under uncultured bacterium. RNAcentral's name for it is "partial 16S ribosomal RNA". It matches the Rfam family "Bacterial small subunit ribosomal RNA", at positions 30 to 507 of the family's 1533-position model. The record is from RNAcentral.
AUUGAACGCUGGCGGCAGGCCUAACACAUGCAAGUCGAACGGUAACAGGAAGCAGCUUGCUGCUUUGCUGACGAGUGGCGGACGGGUGAGUAAUGUCUGGGAAACUGCCUGAUGGAGGGGGAUAACUACUGGAAACGGUAGCUAAUACCGCAUAACGUCGCAAGACCAAAGAGGGGGACCUUCGGGCCUCUUGCCAUCGGAUGUGCCCAGAUGGGAUUAGCUAGUAGGUGGGGUAACGGCUCACCUAGGCGACGAUCCCUAGCUGGUCUGAGAGGAUGACCAGCCACACUGGAACUGAGACACGGUCCAGACUCCUACGGGAGGCAGCAGUGGGGAAUAUUGCACAAUGGGCGCAAGCCUUAUGCAGCCAUGCCGCGUGUAUGAAGAAGGCCUUCGGGUUGUAAAGUACUUUCAGCGGGUAUGAAGGGAGUAAAGUUAAUACCUUGGCUCAUUGACGUUACCCGCAGAAGAAGCACCGGCUAACUCCGUG